Molecule: unclassified non-coding RNA, 158 nt
Filed under: uncultured Leotiomycetes
Lineage: Eukaryota; Fungi; Ascomycota; Leotiomycetes
Description: sequence contains ITS1
Source: RNAcentral
CAGAGCAUCAUGCCCCCCGGGGUAGAUCUCCCACCCUUUGUCGUUCUUACUCUGUUGCUUUGGCGGGCCGCCUCGGCCACCGGCUCCGGCUGGUGCGUGCCCGCCAGAGGACCCCCAACUCUGAAUGUUAGUGCCGUCUGAGUACUAUCUAAUAGUUA